UGCCUGCCACUGGGGAAGGAUCUCUGGUUGGAGAUCCUUUCCUGGUGGAGUUUUCCCUGUGAGAGUAUAUCUUCAGAGACUGGGUUUCUUGACAGACGGAGGCUUUCAUCACCAUCUGUCUCCUCCUGGCUGAAUUCUAGGCCAUCUUUGGCACAGCAGGAACAGUCGUAAAGUCAGGAAUUAGAUUAGGAAUGCUGGCUCAUAAUCUGCAUGCUUAGAUUCAGGAUGCAAGUAUUCCUGGGCAGGGACAUCCUCUGGGAACAAGGUUCUCAGCAGCAUAUGUACAUCAGGGAGGAUGAUUCAACCCGCGUAACUUUGAAGAUUACCUAGGUUACGGACGAAGGCAAAGAAAUAAGUAAUGAAGAAAAAUUGGCAGUGCUGCUAUCUUCACAGGGGAGAGAUAAAUCAUAACAUAGUCCAUUUCUCUCCAUUAAGAAGGAAGUGCUUAAACGCAGCCUUCUGCACUGCUGGCACAUGAACUGGGUGAGAUACCUCUCACCUACUCGUGGAACCGGUGGGUAUUGUACUCAAUCCUGACAGCAGAUCUGAUCCAGUGUCGUUAAAUAACUCUCAGAUUUGUAAGUACAAGAUGCCCAGCUAUGACUCCUAAGUUUUCCCAGUUUUAUCACCUUGUCUUCCUUUUUUAAAGCAUUUUCAGUUAGAAGUUGCUGCAUUAUCACGCAGAUAUUUCUCAAACAGCAGGGAAAGAAGGCAGGCAGGCAUGGAGUAGAUUGAAUAUUCUGUCAUUUGGGAAGAACCUUUGUUUUAAUUAUCUCAGUUUUAAAUGGUUAAUUUACUUGCAUUGAUGUAUUUGCUGAAUCUUCUGUUUGAGCUGUUAAAGUAAGACAGCAUGGACAGGCAGUGAAACUUCUUUAGCAAUGAACGCUGAGCCAUGAUUACACUUCAGAUCACAGAUUUUCAGUGUAAAUUUCCUAUCUAAUGAUCAGAAAAAGAUGGUUUCAUACAAAAAAUUUACCAACAGUUUUGCGAGGAAGCGCUCUCCCCAUCAUAAAAGCUCUUGUAUGGUUUUAAAGAUUAGUAGAGCUUUUUAGUAGCCCAAAAGAGUUUGUUAUAAGAUUAGGAACUGUUUAUCUCUGAAGGUGCAUUUAAACCCUGGAUCCAAAUGAUGGCAAAGUUGAAGGGCCUGGAGUUGUGCAUAAACUCAAACUCUUCAAUUUCCUCUUACUAUUUAACACUUAUAACCUCUAUCUUUUGGGACUGCAGUGUGGUGCACAAUCACCACAGCAGCUCUUUGAGUGCAGCCUUUCACAUAGGAAGUGAUUCAUUUAGCAAAAUUACAUUACUUUGAAAUUCAUUUGGUCCUUUGCAUUUAAUUUUUUUAAUUUUGCUCUGCAAUUAGCUUUUACUAAUGCAAGACAUUCUAUUUGUAACAUUUCUUGAGAAUCACACUAGACAUGAUUUGAAAUGAAACUAAAUCUCUUGAACUUUUCCUUACAUAAAAUUGAAAUGCCAACAGGGCACCAACUGCUGUGAAAAUUAAUGAAUGAGCUACACCAGCCUGCCUUUCAUUUCGUCUGAAUGACUUCACACUUAAAGAGCAUAUGUGACAAACUAAGUCUUUUCCAACCAUGCAGAUGAUGCUGAAGUGAGAGUUUUGCUGCCCAUGGGCAGAUUGAGAGUCCUGAUUUCUCUGAAAGAAUGUUAUAGGAUACAGCUUACAGUGCAGUAGCUACCCUCAGGAUAGUGUUUUUUCUUUUUCCCAAACACUGAGCAAUUUCUUUGUUAAAGCAUGUGAAAUAGUAUAGUAGAAUUGCAUCCAGCUUCUACAGGAUUUUUCUCUACCAGCUUAGUUAGCCCUUCAUUUUGAAAAUUUCCAACACAGCAUUGUCAACUUUCCUAAAAGUGAGGGUUUAUUUCUUAGACACGACCUACAAAAAUGCUGUCUGCUUUUGUGGAUCUGAGUGGAAUGAACAUUCACCAUAGACAACAAUCUUGUUCAAAUCCACGGAUCAUGUUUUCCAAUUUUCCUAUAGAGCUGGGGAGAUGGUCUUUGAAAUCAACACAGAUCUCAUGAGUAACAAAAUGCAUUUCCAGAGAGAAUAAGGGAAAACUUCUUGACUUCUUAGAAAUGCUCACCAGCAAAAAAUCCCAAACGCAUACAAAUAAAUAGUUUUCUCAGGUAGUGCCAAUUGCUUCAUGUCUCUUUAAGCCCAGUUGUAGAAUUCAGACUAUUUGUAAGGUGCUACAAAAAGUGCUGUGCUCUGCUGUUGUUCUGUGAUAAAUUUAACUCAGGAAUUUGGCAUCUUUUCUUUCAAACAUUAUUCCACUUACUUGAUUGUGCCCCUGCUCACAAAGUUGAAAUGUCUAUCUAUCUAAGCUACUUAAGUGGGAUCCUUGUUACCCCAUGGUAUUCUGGACACCAUAAACAUGCUGAGCUCACUGCUUGCUGGGCACAAUGUCCUGGUUCAGGUGAGAAGCUCAUGUAUUUUGUUUCAGCUCAAAGGAGUAAAUGUACUCUUGUUCCGCCGUUGAAUAUGUAAAAACAGAUGAAAAUGAAAUGUUGUGAUUCCUAAAACUGUGACAUGACGUUCAUUCCUAGAAAAAUGAUCAAAUAAACAAUUUUUUAACGUAGACCCAAACCAAUAAAUUUUUAUACUUCACAAUGCAUUCAUAAAAUGAAAAGACUA
This is a non-coding RNA of Meleagris gallopavo (turkey), 2648 nucleotides long. Lineage: Eukaryota; Metazoa; Chordata; Aves; Galliformes; Phasianidae. The record is from RefSeq and is a predicted model, not a curated record.